UCAUCUCCGGGGGUAGAGCACUGUUUCGGCUAGGGGGCCAUCCCGGCUUACCAACCCGAUGCAAACUGCGAAUACCGGAGAAUGUUAUCACGGGAGACACACGGCGGGUGCUAACGUCCGUCGUGAAGAGGGAAACAACCCAGACCGCCAGCUAAGGUCCCAAAGUCAUGGUUAAGUGGGAAACGAUGUGGGAAGGCCCAGACAGCCAGGAUGUUGGCUUAGAAGCAGCCAUCAUUUAAAGAAAGCGUAAUAGCUCACUGGUCGAGUCGGCCUGCGCGGAAGAUGUAACGGGGCUAAACCAUGCACCGAAGCUGCGGCAGCGAACGUAUCACUUAAAGCGAUUCAGCGGGUUACGAUUGACGGAGCGAAGCGACGUCAAAGCGUAUACAAAGUCGAGUCGGUUUAAGGAUACGUUCGUUGGGUAGGGGAGCGUUCUGUAAGCCUGUGAAGGUGGCCUGUGAGGGUUGCUGGAGGUAUCAGAAGUGCGAAUGCUGACAUAAGUAACGAUAAAGCGGGUGAAAAGCCCGCUCGCCGGAAGACCAAGGGUUCCUGUCCAACGUUAAUCGGGGCAGGGUGAGUCGACCCCUAAGGCGAGGCCGAAAGGCGUAGUCGAUGGGAAACGGGUUAAUAUUCCCGUACUUGGUGUUACUGCGAAGGGGGGACGG
Molecule: ribosomal RNA, 665 nt
Filed under: Salmonella enterica
Lineage: Bacteria; Pseudomonadati; Pseudomonadota; Gammaproteobacteria; Enterobacterales; Enterobacteriaceae
Description: partial 23S ribosomal RNA
Rfam family: Bacterial large subunit ribosomal RNA
Source: RNAcentral